CCCGCCCCUUUAAUCAGGAAGCCUCUAAACGCCCUGCCCCUUUAAUCAGGAAGCCUCUAAACGCCCUGCCCCUUUCAUCAGGAAGCCUCUAAACGCCCCGCCCCUUUAAUCAGGAAGCCUCUAAACGCUCCGCCCCUUUAAUAUAGAAUCCUCUAAACGCCCCGCCCCUUUAAUCAGGAAGCCUCUAAACGCCCUGCCCCUUUCAUCAGGAAGCCUCUAAACGCCCCGCCCCUUUAAUCAGGAAUCCUCUAAACACCCCACCCCUUUAAUCAGGAGGCCUCUAAAUGCCCCGCCCCUUUAAUAUAGAAUCCUCUAAACACCUUGCCCCUUUAAUCAGGGAGCCUCUAAACGCCCCGCCCCUUUAAUAUAGAAUCCUCUAAACGCCCCACCCCUUUAAUCAGGAAUCCUCUAAACACCCCGUCCCUUUAAUAUAGAAUCCUCUAAACACCCCGCCUCUUUAAUCAGGGAGCCUCUAAACGCUCCGCCCCUUUAAUAUAGAAUCCUCUAAACGCCCUGCAACUUUAAUCAGGAAGCCUCUAAACUCUCCACCCCUUUAAUCUGGAAGCCUCUAAAUACCCCGCCCCUUUCAUCAGGAAGCCUCUAAACGCCCCGCCCCUUUAAUCUGGAAACUUCUAAAUGUCCCACCGCCAUAAUCAGGACGCCAGGAAAUGUCAAAGAAAUGUAGCUUUAAAUAUUAGGCUGUUAUGCAGAGUCCAGUGUAUGUCGGUGUGUGCCUGUGUGUAGGUAAAUUAAGUAAAGUUGAAUUGUGGUAUAUGUAUGAAUGUAGGGAUGUGUGCAGGUAUGGUCAGAUGUGAACAGGUGUGUGAAGGUGAAUACAGGUGUGUUUCUGUGAGUGUAGCUGUGUGUAGGUGUGGUCAGGUGUACAGGGCUGUGCAGGUGAGUGUAGCUGUGUGUAGGUGUGGUCAGGUGUACAGGGCUGUGCAGGUGAGUGUAGCUGUGUGUAGGUGUGGUCAGGUGUACAGGGCCGUGCAGGUGAGUGUAGCUGUGUGUAGGUGUGGUCAGGUGUACAGGGCUGUGCAGGUGGGCAGGCUGAUCUGUGUGCAGGUGAGUGUAGCUGUGUGUAGGUGUGGUCAGGUGUACAGGGCUGUGCAGGUGGGCAGGCUGAUCUGUGUGCAGGUGAGUGUAGCUGUGUGUAGGUGUGGUCAGGUGUACAGAGCUGUGCAGGUGGGCAGGCUGAUCUGUGUGCAGGUGAGUGUAGCUGUGUGUAGGUGUGGUCAGGUGUACAGGGCUGUGCAGGUGGGCAGGCUGAUCUGUAUGCAGGUGAGUGUAGCUGUGUGUAGGUGUGGUCAGGUGUACAGGGCUGUGCAGGUGGGCAGGCUGAUCUGUAUGCAGGUGAGUGUAGCUGUGUGUAGGUGUGGUCAGGUGUACAGGGCUGUGCAGGUGAGUGUAGCUGUGGGUAGGUGUGGUCAGGUGUACAGGGCUGUGCAGGUGGGCAGGCUGAUCUGUGUGCAGGUGAGUGUAGCUGUGUGUAGGUGUGGUCAGGUGUACAGGGCUGUGCAGGUGGGCA
Long non-coding RNA from Anguilla anguilla (European eel), 1528 nucleotides. RefSeq lists it as uncharacterized. The record is from RefSeq and is a predicted model, not a curated record. The transcript has 3 exons. Lineage: Eukaryota; Metazoa; Chordata; Actinopteri; Anguilliformes; Anguillidae.